ACAUGUGAGGCCACGGGGACAGGCUUUCCGAAAGGACAGUUAUUUGGAUAUUCGGUUCCAUUAGCUGGGGCGGACUGGAGAACAUUGUUCGACCUCCGCUAUCGAGCUCGUCGCCUGAACCAUACCCUUGCUUUUUGCGUACCUAUUGUUUCCUCGGCAGGCUUGCCUGCCAGUAGGACCCCAUUUAACCCUUUGUAAUUGCAGUCAGCGUCAGAAACAACGUAAUCGUUA
This 231-nucleotide unclassified non-coding RNA is filed under the name uncultured Pleosporales. Its description in RNAcentral is "sequence contains ITS1". The record is from RNAcentral. Lineage: Eukaryota; Fungi; Ascomycota; Dothideomycetes; Pleosporales.